CCCUUAGAUGUUCUGGGCCGCACGCGUGCUACACUGAUGCAUUCAACGAGUCUAAAACCUGGUCUGAUAGGGCUGGGUAAUCUUUUGAAAGUGCAUCGUGAUUGGGAUAGAUGAUUGCAAUUUUUCAUCUUCAACGAGGAAUGCCUAGUAAACGCAAGUCAUCAGCUUGCAUUGAUUACGUCCCUGCCCUUUGUACACACCGCCCGUCGCUCCUACCGAUUGAAUGAUCCGAUGAAUACCAUGGAUUGAGAGUACGAAUAGGUUCGCUUAUUUCUGCUGCUCGAGAAGUGGAGUAAAUCUUAUCAUUUAGAGGAAGGAGAAGUCGUAACA
This 330-nucleotide ribosomal RNA is filed under the name uncultured eukaryote. RNAcentral describes it as "partial 18S ribosomal RNA". It matches the Rfam family "Eukaryotic small subunit ribosomal RNA", at positions 1470 to 1796 of the family's 1831-position model. The record is from RNAcentral.